Molecule: ribosomal RNA, 39 nt
Filed under: Xylodon reticulatus
Lineage: Eukaryota; Fungi; Basidiomycota; Agaricomycetes; Hymenochaetales; Schizoporaceae
Description: partial 28S ribosomal RNA
Source: RNAcentral
GUAUUCUGUCUGGCUUCUAAUCGUCCUUUACUUGGACAA